GAUCGGCCCGCGGCCCAUUAGCUUGUUGGUGAGGUAACGGCUCACCAAGGCCGCGAUGGGUAGCUGGUCUGAGAGGACGAUCAGCCACACUGGGACUGAAACACGGCCCAGACUCCUACGGGAGGCAGCAGUGGGGAAUCUUGCGCAAUGCGCGAAAGCGUGACGCAGCAACGCCGCGUGGGGGAAGAAGGCCUUCGGGUUGUAAACCCCUUUCAGGAGGGACGAAGCCCGGACCGUUAAUAGCGGCUCCGGGUGACGGUACCUCCAGAAGAAGCCCCGGCUAACUACGUGCCAGCAGCCGCGGUAAUACGUAGGGGGCAAGCGUUGUCCGGAAUCAUUGGGCGUAAAGCGCGUGUAGGCGGUCCGGUAAGUCGGCUGUGAAAGUCCAGGGCUCAACCCUGGGAUGCCGGUCGAUACUGCCGGACUAGAGUUCGGAAGAGGCGAGUGGAAUUCCCGGUGUAGCGGUGAAAUGCGCAGAUAUCGGGAGGAACACCAAUGGCGAAGGCAGCUCGCUGGGACGUUACUGACGCUGAGACGCGAAAGCGUGGGGAGCAAACAGGAUUAGAUACCCUGGUAGUCCACGCCGUAAACGAUGGGCACUAGGUGU
RNAcentral lists this ribosomal RNA (607 nucleotides) under uncultured Actinomycetes bacterium. Its description in RNAcentral is "bacterial SSU rRNA". It matches the Rfam family "Bacterial small subunit ribosomal RNA", at positions 224 to 823 of the family's 1533-position model. Lineage: Bacteria; Bacillati; Actinomycetota; Actinomycetes. The record is from RNAcentral.